Molecule: ribosomal RNA, 239 nt
Filed under: uncultured bacterium
Lineage: Bacteria
Description: partial 16S ribosomal RNA
Rfam family: Bacterial small subunit ribosomal RNA
Source: RNAcentral
CGGGCACUUUCGGGUGUCAGCGGCGGACGGGUGAGUAACGCGUGGGAACGUGCUUCUGGUUCGGAAUAACUCAGGGAAACUUGAGCUAAUACCGGAUACGCCCUUUUGGGAAAGGUUUACUGCCGGAAGAUCGGCCCGCGUCUGAUUAGCUAGUUGGUGGGGUAAUGGCCUACCAAGGCGACGAUCAGUAGCUGGUCUGAGAGGAUGAUCAGCCACACUGGGACUGAGACACGGCCCAG